RNAcentral lists this ribosomal RNA (128 nucleotides) under Echinops telfairi (small Madagascar hedgehog). The record is from RNAcentral. Lineage: Eukaryota; Metazoa; Chordata; Mammalia; Afrosoricida; Tenrecidae.
GUAUACGGCCAUACCAUCCUGAACAUACCUGAUCUCAUCUGAUCUUGGAAGCUAAGCAGAUUCGGGCCUGGUUAGUACUUGGAGGGGAGAAAGGCAAUCAAACAAGACAAUCAAAGAAGCUGAUGAUA